GCGGAUGUGGCGGAAUUGGUAGACGCGCUGGAUUUAGGUUCCAGUACCGCAAGGUGUGAAAGUUCGAGUCUUUUCAUCCGCACCA
RNAcentral lists this transfer RNA (85 nucleotides) under Blastochloris viridis. Its description in RNAcentral is "tRNA-Leu". It matches the Rfam family "tRNA". Rfam says of the family: Transfer RNA (tRNA) molecules are approximately 80 nucleotides in length. Lineage: Bacteria; Pseudomonadati; Pseudomonadota; Alphaproteobacteria; Hyphomicrobiales; Blastochloridaceae. The record is from RNAcentral.